GACGAACGCUGGCGGCGUGCCUAAUACAUGCAAGUCGAGCGCAGGAAGCCGUCUGAACCCUUCGGGGGGGCGACGGUGGAAUGAGCGGCGGACGGGUGAGUAACACGUAUAGAACCUGCCCAUAGGUCUGGGAUAACCACGAGAAAUCGGGGCUAAUCCCGGAUGUGUCAUCGGACCGCAUGGUCCGAUGAUGAAAGGCGCUCCGGCGUCGCCCAUGGAUGGCUUUGCGGUGCAUUAGCUAGUUGGUGAGGUAACGGCCCACCAAGGCGACGAUGCAUAGCCGACCUGAGAGGGUGAUCGGCCACACUGGGACUGAGACACGGCCCAGACUCCUACGGGAGGCAGCAGUAGGGAAUCUUCCACAAUGGACGAAAGUCUGAUGGAGCAACGCCGCGUGAACGAUGAAGGCUUUCGGGUCGUAAAGUUCUGUUGUAAGGGAAGAACAAGUGCCGCAGGCAAUGGCGGCACCUUGACGGUACCUUGCGAGAAAGCCACGGCUAACUACGUGCCAGCCGCCGCGGUAA
This 524-nucleotide ribosomal RNA is filed under the name uncultured bacterium. Its description in RNAcentral is "partial 16S ribosomal RNA". It matches the Rfam family "Bacterial small subunit ribosomal RNA", at positions 28 to 523 of the family's 1533-position model. The record is from RNAcentral.